CAAUAGCGUAUAUUAAAGUUGUUGCAGUUAAAAAGCUCGUAGUUGGAUCUCAGGGUGAGCUCAGUUGGUCGGCCUAAUUGGUCAGAACUGGCUGACUCUCCCUUGUUUCUGAAUCCCGGUCGGAGUUAAUUCUUCGUUCGUGGACUUCAGAUCGUUUACCUUGAAAAAAUUAGAGUGUUCAAAGCGGGCGUUUGCUUGAAUACAUUAGCAUGGAAUAAUGGAAUAGGACUUUGGUUUUAUUUUGUUGGUUUUGAGGACCAGAGUAAUGAUUAAUAGGGAUAGUUGGGGGCAUUCAUAUUUAAUUGUCAGAGGUGAAAUUCUUGGAUUUAUGAAAGAUGAACUUCUGCGAAAGCAUUUGCCAAGGAUGUUUUCAUUAAUCAAGAACGAAAGUUAGGGGAUCAAAGAUGAUUAGAUACCAU
This 419-nucleotide ribosomal RNA is filed under the name uncultured eukaryote. RNAcentral's name for it is "bacterial SSU rRNA". It matches the Rfam family "Eukaryotic small subunit ribosomal RNA", at positions 592 to 1018 of the family's 1831-position model. The record is from RNAcentral.